GGCAGUUUGAUAUAGGGUCUCUCUUUCUUUCUCGAUCGAGCGUCUCUCUUUCACGAUUGAAUUUUUGUGUGUUGAUUUUCUCAACAAAUCCCUCUCCUUUUUUUCUUUCUCGAUCGAGGGUUUUCGUCACCGUCCUCUCUGGGAAUAUAUAAGCUGUAAUUAGCUGGAGUGCAAUGGUGUUCUCACAUUGAGCUUUGUCUAGGCCAAUUUUAGUGGAAUCUAAAUUUGAUAAAAAGCAACUCUUUUGGAACUAUAUGAAAUUAUGUAAGGUGGGUCAUUCUCGUUAUGGUUCCAUGGUGGUUGCUUGUUGAUGGAGAUGUAACGAAACCUUGAAGUUAUUCCAAGAAAAAGAAGUGUUAUAUUGUAUAGUUCAGGACAUCCGACCGAGCUCUGCGUUUUAUCAAACUCUGCGUGAUUCUUCAUGGAAGAUAAUCGAUGCAGGAGAAACUAUGGAGGAAGUAGAGAAGAAGAUUCAACAAGUGGUGUUGGAUAAAGUUAAAGAGUGUGCUCAAGUAAAGUCUCUUUCUCUCCUCUGAUCAUCUUUUAAUGAUUUUUAACCAAUCCACUCUUGUAGAAUGUUUGUGUUAUGGUUUAUUAUACCAAGUUUGUGAUU
Molecule: long non-coding RNA, 613 nt
Organism: Brassica oleracea var. oleracea
Lineage: Eukaryota; Viridiplantae; Streptophyta; Magnoliopsida; Brassicales; Brassicaceae
Exons: 3
Source: RefSeq, a predicted model, not a curated record